CAUGCAAGUCGAACGGAAAGGCCCUUCGGGGUGCUCGAGUGGCGAACGGGUGAGUAACACGUGGGUGAUCUGCCCUGCACUUUGGGAUAAGCCUGGGAAACUGGGUCUAAUACCGGAUAGGACUACGUACUGCAUGGUGUGUGGUGGAAAGCUUUUGCGGUGUGGGAUGGGCCCGCGGCCUAUCAGCUUGUUGGUGGGGUGAUGGCCUACCAAGGCGACGACGGGUAGCCGGCCUGAGAGGGUGUCCGGCCACACUGGGACUGAGAUACGGCCCAGACUCCUACGGGAGGCAGCAGUGGGGAAUAUUGCACAAUGGGCGCAAGCCUGAUGCAGCGACGCCGCGUGAGGGAUGACGGCCUUCGGGUUGUAAACCUCUUUCAGUAGGGACGAAGCGCGAGUGACGGUACCUAUAGAAGAAGCACCGGCCAACUACGUGCCAGCAGCCGCGGUAAUACGUAGGGUGCGAGCGUUGUCCGGAAUUACUGGGCGUAAAGAGCUCGUAGGUGGUUUGUCGCGUUGUUCGAGAAAACUCACA
RNAcentral lists this ribosomal RNA (535 nucleotides) under uncultured Mycobacterium sp. Its description in RNAcentral is "bacterial SSU rRNA". It matches the Rfam family "Bacterial small subunit ribosomal RNA", at positions 54 to 606 of the family's 1533-position model. The record is from RNAcentral. Lineage: Bacteria; Bacillati; Actinomycetota; Actinomycetes; Mycobacteriales; Mycobacteriaceae.